GUGGGGAAUCUUGCGCAAUGGGGGAAACCCUGACGCAGCAACGCCGCGUGGGUGAUGAAGGCCUUCGGGUCGUAAAGCCCUGUCAGGUGGGAAGAAUCAUAUCGAUUCGAACAGGGUCGAUAUCUGACGGUACCACCGGAGGAAGCACCGGCUAACUCCGUGCCAGCAGCCGCGGUAAUACGGAGGGUGCAAGCGUUGUUCGGAAUUACUGGGCGUAAAGCGCGUGUAGGCGGUCGAGCAAGUCAGAUGUGAAAGCCUUCCGCUUAACGGAAGAAGUGCAUUUGAAACUACUCGGCUGGAGUACGGGAGAGGAGAGUGGAAUUCCCGGUGUAGAGGUGAAAUUCGUAGAUAUCGGGAGGAACACCAGUGGCGAAAGCGGCUCUCUGGUCCGAUACUGACGCUGAUACGCGAAAGCGUGGGGAGCAAACAGGAUUAGAAACCCUAGUAGUCC
Molecule: ribosomal RNA, 451 nt
Filed under: uncultured bacterium
Lineage: Bacteria
Description: bacterial SSU rRNA
Rfam family: Bacterial small subunit ribosomal RNA
Source: RNAcentral